UACGAAGGGGGCUAGCGUUGCUCGGAAUCACUGGGCGUAAAGGGUGCGUAGGCGGGUCUUUAAGUCAGGGGUGAAAUCCUGGAGCUCAACUCCAGAACUGCCUUUGAUACUGAGGAUCUUGAGUCCGGGAGAGGUGAGUGGAACUGCGAGUGUAGAGGUGAAAUCGUAGAUAUUCGCAAGAACACCAGUGGCGAAGGCGGCUCACUGGCCCGGUACUGACGCUGAGGCACGAAAGCGUGGGGAGCAAACAGG
Molecule: ribosomal RNA, 252 nt
Filed under: uncultured bacterium
Lineage: Bacteria
Description: partial 16S ribosomal RNA
Rfam family: Bacterial small subunit ribosomal RNA
Source: RNAcentral